GGGGAUAGAUCAUUGCAAUUGUUGGUCUUCAACGAGGAAUGCCUAGUAAGCGCGAGUCAUCAGCUCGCGUUGACUACGUCCCUGCCCUUUGUACACACCGCCCGUCGCUCCUACCGAUUGAAUGGUCCGGUGAAGUGUUCGGAUCGCGGCGACGGGGGCGGUUCGCCGCCCCCGACGUCGCGAGAAGUCCAUUGAACCUUAUCAUUUAGAGGAAGGAGAAGUCGUAACAAGGUUUCCGUAGGUGAACCUGCGGAAGGAUCAUUG
Molecule: ribosomal RNA, 264 nt
Filed under: Koeleria vallesiana
Lineage: Eukaryota; Viridiplantae; Streptophyta; Magnoliopsida; Poales; Poaceae
Description: partial 18S ribosomal RNA
Rfam family: Eukaryotic small subunit ribosomal RNA
Source: RNAcentral